CGGGGCCCAUCCCGUAAGGCUAAAUACUCCCGAGAGACCGAUAGCGAACCAGUACCGUGAGGGAAAGGUGAAAAGCACUUCGAACAGAAGAGUGAAAUAGUUCCUGAAACCGUGCGCCUACAAGCGGUCGGAGCUCGUUAAUGAGUGACGGCGUGCCUUUUGCAUAAUGAACCUACGAGUUGCCUUUGCCGGCAAGGUUAAGUGUGACGACACACGUAUCCGAAGCGAAAGCGAGUCUGAACAGGGCGUAUAGUCGGCAGUGGCAGACGCGAAACCAAGUGAUCUACCCUUGGCCAGGUUGAAGGCUGGGUAACACCAGCUGGAGGACCGCACCAAUAAGCGUUGAAAAGCUUCUGGAUGAGCUGAGGGUAGGGGUGAAAGGCUAAUCAAACUUGGAGAUAGCUCGUACUCCCCGAAAUGCAUUUAGGUGCAGCCUUGCGGGUUACUGAUGUGAGGUAGAGCGACUGAUAAGAUGCGAGGGCUUCACCGCCUAUCAAGUCUUGACAAACUCCGAAUGCGCAUCAGUUCUACCGCAGGAGUGAGGGCAUGGGUGCUAAGGUCCGUGCCCGAGAGGAGAAGAAUCCGGACCACCUGCUAAGGUCCCGAAAUGACAGCUAAGUUAAACUAACGAAGUCUGACUGCUAAGACAGCUAGGAUGUUGGCUUGGAAGCAGCCAUUCAUUUAAAGAGUGCGUAACAGCUCACUAGUCGAGCGAUCUGGCGUGGAUAAUAAUCGGGCAUAAACGAUCUGCCGAAGCCGUGGAUGUCGCAAGACAUGGUAGGGGAGCAUUCCAUGCGGCGUCGAAGAUGAGGGAUGACCCUUGUUGGAGCGCAUGGAAAAGCAAAUGUAGGUAUGAGUAACGAUAAGGGGGGCGAGAAACCCCCCCGCCGAAAGACCAAGGUUUCCUGAUCAACGCUAAUCGGAUCAGGGUGAGUCGGGACCUAAGGCAAAGCCGAACGGCGCCGCCGAUGGAAGAAUGGGUUAAUAUUCCCAUACUGCCUCAUGGAGUGACGUGGAGACGGAGAAGUGACAGUCCUGCCGGCUGACGGAAUAGCCGGUUGAAGGGUGUAGAUAUUGAUUCCCGUAGGCAAAUCCGCGGGGAGAGUCGAACCUGAGAGUAUACGGAGCGCUUGCGCAACGUAAUAUGGACGUAACCAUGCUCCCGAGAAAAUCCGCUAAACUUAUCCAUGCGGCACCCGUACCGUAAACGGACACACGUGGUCGGGUUGAGAAUACUGAGGCGCUCGAGUGAUUCACGGUUAAGGAACUAGGCAAAUUGACCCUGUAACUUCGGGAUAAAGGGUCCUCGUCGUAAGGCGAGGCGCAGAGAAUAGGUCCAGGCAACUGUUUAACAAAAACACAUGGCUGUGCUAAAUGGAAACAUGAUGUAUACAGCCUGACACCUGCCCGGUGCCGGAAGGUUAAGAGGAGAUGUCAUCCGCGAGGAGAAGCGUUGAAUUGAAGCCCCGGUAAACGGCGGCCGUAACUAUAACGGUCCUAAGGUAGCGAAAUUCCUUGUCGGGU
Molecule: ribosomal RNA, 1524 nt
Filed under: human gut metagenome
Also listed under: 1 other name
Description: bacterial LSU rRNA
Rfam family: Bacterial large subunit ribosomal RNA
Source: RNAcentral